Long non-coding RNA from Cucumis melo (muskmelon), 1004 nucleotides. RefSeq lists it as uncharacterized. Lineage: Eukaryota; Viridiplantae; Streptophyta; Magnoliopsida; Cucurbitales; Cucurbitaceae. The transcript is spliced from 3 exons. The record is from RefSeq and is a predicted model, not a curated record.
UAUAUAUAACUGUUGAUACUUUCAUAUAUUUUUAAUGCACUUGAAAGGUUACUUCAAGUAUUUACUGAUUGAUGUCUGAUACACUCGAGUAUUUAAAAUGUUUACUUGUGUUUAUUGUUUGGUGUAUGAUAACUUAACUUGUCGAUGUUGAGGUUGAAUUUGAGGAAGAAGAAGAAGAGGAAAGGGGUAUGAAUUAAGGUGAAAGAGAUGAAGAAAUCAUGAAGGGAUAGACAGCCAUGGCAGAAGCUCGGUGUUCACAGACAUCUUCUGGUUUUUGCAUCAGUUUGAACUCCUAAAAAAGAAUUAAAAGAGUGCUUUUUCAUGAACCAAUGCUUGUUGAGAACUAAAUCUAGAAGUUUGUGUGGGAUCAUUAUCCAAUUCUCGUACUCAGAGUUGGAAAAUGCAACAGAAAAGUUUUCGAGCUCCCAUCUUGUUGGGCGUGGGGGAAGUAGCUUUGUCUAUCGUGGUGAAUUGAGGGAUGGUAGAAUAGUGGCAGUAAAGCGGCUCAAUAUUCAAGGAGGACCAGAUGUAGACUACUUGUUCUUAACAGAAGUAUCAGUUCCACCGAUCCCUUUAUCAUCAGUUGACACAUUUUUCCUAAUAUCUCUGGCAGAAUAAUAUUGUUAUCUUAUUUUCUUCCAUAUUUUGUCGUUCAAAUACAAUUGUUAUCAAGUCUGAAUCAUUGUCACGUGGUGCCUCUACUUGGUUACUGCACAGAGUCAUUAGAUACAUGCGCGAAACCGUGAGCAAGGACACAAGCAUUAUUACUGAUGCGAUUGAUACAAGAAACUCGUACUCACAGCUUGAAUUGGAUGAAGUACGAGUGGAGUGGGCUGAAUUUUUAUCCCGGUACAUAUGAUAGAUACACCUAGAUAUGAUCUUCUUCUUAAUUUUGUAAAUGGCUAACAUAGGAGAAUGCCCAUAACAUUUUUUGUGUAAACGUUUUGUUCAUAGCCAUUAUACUUAUAGAUGAUGUAAUAGAUGCAAAGGGAUAGAGACUUUAG